This 7205-nucleotide long non-coding RNA is filed under the name Lactuca sativa (garden lettuce). RNAcentral describes it as "long non-coding RNA (LSAT_LNC003459)". The record is from RNAcentral. Lineage: Eukaryota; Viridiplantae; Streptophyta; Magnoliopsida; Asterales; Asteraceae.
AACUCAUGACUUUCCAUAUUCCUCAUGAUCCAUGGGUUUUAACCUCCAUGGAGUAUCCAUGGGUUACCCUAUGGGUUUAGCCCAACAUGAAGAACUAUGGAUCAUAAGCCCAAAUAUAUAAGAAUGAAUGAUUUACAUAAUCAAUCCCCAUAUAUUUAUUUAGUCUCUUUUGAUAAGAGAAUUAAUUCCAAAUUAAUUAUUGAUCAAUACUAAUUAAAUAAUAUGAUUUCAUAUUAAUAUAUUAGAACUUAUAAUAUAUUAAUAAAUCAUAAAUAUCCUUUUCUCACAAAAGUCUAUCCAAAUUGUUCCGAUACCAUGCAACCCAAAUGGACCAUGCCGAAUCGGGUAAAGUACAUACCAAUUAUAGUUAUGGACUUAGACACUGAUUUAACAAGUCUCCCACUUGGAUAAGUAUAAUAACUAUUAUUGCAAGUAUGACUCUGCAACCUGACUAGCAAUCGUAGCUCUUAAAAGCCGAUGUCGAACUCUGAACAAAUCAAUGACGCAUCCAUUAGAUAAGGGGUCAUAUAUUCCUCCAUUAUUGAUAUCAUAUUGACUGAGACAUGGAUUAUAAUCAUUCUCUGUGUCCAUAUUUUGUUUCCUGAUUUCUGAUUUAGGACGACUAACUAAUUGAACAAAUCAAAUCAGUCCAAGCUUGGCCAAGCACUUAGGGGUGUCAUUACUAAAUUAUCGAGGGGUCCAAAGAUAUUGUUUUUAUCCCUCCAAGGGUAAAAGGAAUGGAUAAACUUCGACCCAAAUGUUCACUUAUACUUACUCAUCAAAUUACACACAACGAUAUGUUUUAUAACAACCAAGUUACUGGUUGCGUUUACAUAUGUCAAUGUGCAAUUGACGCACAACUCCAGCUCACGCGUCUCUGUUUGAAGAAUAUAAGAUAUUAUCGUCUUAUGAUCACUCGUGAUAAAAUCCAUGAAGUGAUUCAAAUGAGCGUGGGUUUAAUCCAAUACUCGAAUCUUAUUUCAGGAGCACUCGUGAAUGUUGCAGCAACUUUUGCUAUGCCUAAACACUUUAGACAUCUACAAGCCCAAUUCAUGACUAUCUUGAUUCAUACCUACUUCCAAAGUAUGAUUGACUAUGGAGAUUUUGAAUAACCUGGUUAUCCGGGAAGUCAAAACAUGCAAAGUGAAACACAAGAAUAAUCUAAUUCAGUAUGGUCUUAGAACUUAUGAAUAUAAAUAAAACACCUUUUAUUUAUCACCAUAUUGAUUACACAUUAUUCAUUGCAUAAUGUUUGGAUUUAUCAACUUAACACUUGAAUUGAAACCAAUAGUUGUGCUAUGCUCCAAGCAUGCACACUAUGUUUUCUAAACAAUAGUUAUGCCAUACUCCAAGUAUGCACACUAUGUUUGUCUAUGAUCCUUACUUUGUGAAAUAGAUCAAUUAAACAUUGUUCCAAUGAUGCUCAUUUCACAAACCCAAAUCCUUACCGUAAAUGUAGGAAUAUCAAAUUAUUGUUAUUUAAUGUAAUCUGUUAGAUUCUAAAUUUGCAUUGAUCCUCUUGUCAUGACUAUGCACAAAGUCACAAAGACUUGUCAUCAGACAUUACAGAGUAUUCCAAUGGAUAUCAAUUCCAUAGAAAUGAAGUCUCAAAUUCAAAGUACAUUCCUGUGAACAUCUUUCUUGCAUUAAGUUUCCUAAUCUUACACAUAUUGAAUAACUUCCACCUAUGGAGACAUUUCCAUAUUCCCAUUUUGACUAUUACUUCUGAACAAGAGUUGCCUCUUUUCAAAAUAUGUCAAUAUGGUCCUUCCAAAAAUUUACACCAUCCUUCAAACUGUCCAUGAGAAACUAAUAUAUGGUAAACCUCAGAUUGUCCUUGACAAUCGCUUAAUCAUUUUAGUCAUAUCCAGUUCUAGACCUUUUCCCCUUUUAAUGCCCUAGGCAUUUGGAAAAUUUAGAAAGGACAAAUAUUAUAGCACAUGCCACAUGUAAUCGAUCCUAUACCCGAAGCAUAUGGGACACGAUUCAUGAUGUCUCACAUAAGGACAUGAUCCUAGACCAGUCUUUUGCUACAAUAUUUUUUAUUUGCCAUGUUUUCAUAAUUCGACUAUAAAGAGGGAUGUCAUAAUCAUAAUCGAAUUUUGAGAACGCAAUAUAUAUGUNCGUAGUCAUAAUUGAAUUUUGAGAACGCAAUAUAUAUAGAAUUUCCUUAAGUCGAACCAUUCAGACAUAAAAUUCAUAUAUAUAUCCUUGACUAAAGACGAUUAAAAUCUCAAUCUAAAUCUUAAUCUAAGCUUUUAGAAUUGAAAUGAACUAUAAUUUCCUCUCCCUUAAUUAUAGCAAAACAACUUUUCAAAUCUUGCAGAGUCACAACUAAAACUUUUGUUUUCUAUAAUUAACACUUAACAUAAUAAUCAUGCUCCCACUAAUAUGAUAAGUAUGCUCCCGCUAGCUUUGGCAUGUAUCCAGAAAUCAGCUGGACUUCUAGAAAUCAAUACUUUAUUGACUUUUUUACCAAAGUUCAUAUUUCUGAUACGAGAUGCUUUGAUAAGACUUUAUCAAAAUCAUACACCUUUCCUUAGAUAGCUCACAUGUGUGUCUAACAAUUUUAGAACUAUGAAAAGGGAUGUCGUAAUCAUACUCUCAAAUGUUUAGACCUUUGCCAUUUCUCACAAGUCCAUGUUAGUGUGUCAGUUAACCACACACGCUCCACUAAUGACUUUGAGAAUGAAAAUAUCACAAUUGCUAUCUACUUAAAAUCUACUUAGUGAAAGCGUUUCCUCACCAUCAUUUUCAUGAAUCGGAGAGAAACCUUAUGACACUUAGAUUUUAUGGUAUAUGCGUUCCUAUCCAUGUGAAUUUGUCAAAACCAUAAUCACAAGACAAGGUUAGUGACAAAUUCAAACUCAUAUGGACUAAACUUGUUUAAUCUUAAUUUCUUGCCACCUGGCAACACAAGGGCCUACCGUUGCAUCCAGGUUGUUAUGCAACCUAUUGAGAACUCGCAGAACUCACAUGCAUAGUCAACUUUAACUGGAAUAGACAUAGAAACAAGAAUUAUGUUAGCACGAUUGGUUAUAAACCUCAAGUCGUGUGCUAGUGAUAAACUACAGGUUUUAUUCUUGAUUAGUUCUUGAAACUCUUUUAGGAUCUUUUAAGACUCCCACUGUCCUCUUGACAUAUAAGACUCUCUUUCCAAGAACCAUUCCUUGACAAACACAUAUUCAAGAGAUAAUGUGGAUUAUUAUGAAGACAAACACUUCACACAAUUGGCCUUAGUUGGUCUUUAAGAUAUGUCACUCAAGUUAUCUUUGAGUAUGAUUCUAAGAAUUGUUUUGGAAUGAAGUAUGACUCAUCUUCUGGAUUUAACCGUUUCAACAAUUCAUGAUUCCUCUUCUUAGCCAUAGGAAUGCACUAAGAUGUCCUUAGAGGAUCAAUUGUAAUGUGGUUUCUUAAUCAUUAAGAUGGUCAUAAAACAUGAUACUAAAGUACUCUCCCAUCUUUUCAGAUUUGAGAAACUUUUUAUCUUUCUGCCUAAUUUGAUUCUUCUCAUUCGUUCUGCCAUACAUUGAAACUUUUCCAAUGUUUUAGAAUUGUACUUAAAUUUGUAAGUAUAACCAUAUAUACUAAACUUUAGUAAAUCAUGACGAAUAGUCUUAUCAAUCUUUGUGGUUGACUUGACCAGUGCACAAGAAUGUAUACUCGAUCCCUUAGUCCUUCACUUGACUCACAUAUACAUGUGAACAAGGAAUUAGUCUUAAUUUUCCAAAGAUGAAAGGUUCUCAUUCAUCAUACAAUACCAGUUGCAUGAUUCCAAGUUUCUAUCCAACUGAAGCUUGGGUGAUGAGAAUCCUUUCUUAUUUGGUAAAUUAUGAUACUACCACGAAGGAAUCAAAUUCAUUCUCCAACAUUGCUAUUAAUGGAAUCAUAUAAACAACAAUUUUUCAUAAAUGCCAUUGUAAGGAAACUUAAAAUAAAUAAAAACAAAAAAUUUUCUUUUAUUUUAAAACUUGCGGAAAAAACUUAUCCUUACAAGGUAUUUACAAAUGAAAAACAUGUUGUUAUCUAUUCCUAAGCAAUUUAUCAUAACUCUUAAGUAGCAACUCAAAUUCUGAUCUUCGAACCAUGCAAUCGAAAUUCAUCUUCAUGAUCAGAGUCAGCUUACUCUUCUUUUGAGCUUCCUCUCUUUUCCUUUGAUUCUACAAAACAUAAAAAUGUGACCUAGUCACAUCAUGUAAUAAGAAUCUCUAAAUAGGAACUUAAUAGAGUUAGAUAGUGGACUUUACCCAAAGUAGAGUUAACCUUUUGACUUUACCAUCCUUAUGAUCUUUUCAGGUAAAUGGGGCAGCUUCACAACCAAUGCCCCUUCUUUUGGCAAAAGAAACAUAUGGACUCUUUAGGAACGGUACAUGGGACUAUCUCAGACUUAGGCUUUCUCUUUACCUUUUGGUUAACCGGGUUGACUAUGGCCGAUCCCUUUCCAUUGGGAAGAGAAAGCUUUUCUGGAUUUCCAAUGUUACCAUUGUCAAUGUCCAUGGAAGUUUGGGAAGUCGAUCUUCCAAUAAAAUUUGCUUUACCAGUACUCCAAAUUAUUGUUGAUUCAGCAUCAUCAAGCAAAUAGGUAAGAUCAUUAAGGGUCAUGUCAUGGUCUGUCAUAUAGUAAUCCCAAAGGAACUCACUAUGUGACUUAGGAAGUGAUUGAAGAACCUAGUCAACAACCAACUUCCUCAAGACUUUGACACCCAACUCUCACAGCCAGUCUAUACAUAUGACUUCAUCUCCAAGAUGUGAGCACACACAAACUUUGCUUGCCAAUAGGGCUUAAGUGACCUUGAACAUGUGGGUUAGGGAGAAUAAUUGGAGGAGGUGGAGGAAGAGCAGUAUGAUUGCCAUGAUCCAAUCGCGGGACAUCAUCUUCAUUAGGAAAGCUUGUUCCAAGAGAUUUGGGAAGAUCAUAGUUGUCUGAUCUAGACAUCUACAAUGGGAGAAAUUCAAGUUAGUUGAGUUAAGUCCUUAAUAUAACACCCAAUCUGAAAUACAAAGGCUAGGACGCAACACAAUAUUUUAUAACUUGGAAGAGGGAUGUUAUAAUCCAAGCUAUAAAAUAUUUGAAGGUAGCCGAGUGACGAUUUACCAAUUUCCACCGUGAAAAACGAAAUAGGUAUUAGGUUUUUAUUGGAUUGAAACUCCUAGAUCUUUUGAGAUUCAUUGAACUUUUCAAUGGCAUGUUUAAAUCUCAAUUGUGCACUCUUAAGUUUGUGAGUGGGAUGCCGAGGAUCACAAACAAGGUGUGAAUGACCAUGAAAAUUAACUUGGUACCCUUAAUUUGAUCACCUAAUUGAUGUGCCGGUUACCCACACACGCUCCACCGAUCUAUGAUAAACAUUAAGUCACCCUUUGCCACUCUUACUAGUCCAUGUUAGUGUGCCGGUUACCUACACACGCUCCACCAACGACUUGGUAAGGUACAAAGUGUAAUUUCAUGGGUUAACACCAAUUUCACAUUUUCCUAAUGUAACUAAGAUUGGGAAUUUAUAAAAGGUUUAGUUACUUUAUAUUUAUCAUUAUACUUUUAAUGAGAAUUAUAGUCCUUGUCCUACCCGUUCAGCUAACGACCCUCCACCAGUCAAGGAAGUGGUAGGUGAGAGUGGACACCCAUUAAGCUGUAAUUUUAUAGGCAACAACCUUAUACCCCUUAUAGACCGGCUUCGUGAAUGAGGCCUACUAACGGUAAGACUGACUUACUCUUAUACAUAUAUAUAUAUAUAUANNNNNNNNNNNNNNNNNNNNNNNNNNNNNNNNUAUAUAUAUAUAUAUAUAUAUAUUAAACCUAUAAUAUUAUAAUAGUAUAAGGGUUGGAUUUUAAACUAUUUAAAAUUCUAGGGUUCGAAACUAAAGUAUACAUGGGGGGUAGCUUUACAAAUUCCAAAACUUGAGGGCAAGUUUUGAACAAUUCAAAAAAAAAAACAUUUGAAAUCCAUAGCAUAUGAGUUUAAUAUGGCUUUUAAUGACAAGACUCAUGAAAAUUCAUAACUUGAGGACAAGUUAUGGAUGUCAUAAAACAAUUUAUGGAAAAAGACUCUUCAAGUUUAUAUAACCUAUGGCUUUAAAACCUCUUUUAAAUAAAAAAUUUUGGUUUUCCAUAACUUGAGGACAAGUUAUGGAAUCCAUUAAAGACCAUUUAGAUCAUCUAAUAAAUAAACAAACAUGUUAAGAAAAACUAUGAUCUAGAAUAAACUCAUAUAAACAAGACAAUUCAAAUCAAACAAUUUUCUUGUACUUAGCCUAACCAUUAAACUAAUACAAAACAUAAAUCUAUUGACAAUUAUCUUUUGAAUUGGAUUAGAAUGAUCAUUACCACAUGAAAAACAGGUUUAUAAGUUCAAAAACAACUUAGGGUAAUGAUUCUAGUCCCAUUCCAGCCUUAAAAGUCGAAAAUCUGCACUCUGGGCCUCCUACUCGUCGAGUGUAUGAACCUACUCGACGAGUAGGAUGAUUUUGUUCAUGGACUCGACGAGUCCCCCUGUGGAUUCGGCGAGUCCAGAUUUGGCGAGUCCAUAGUCCAGACAGCCAGAAAAUCGAUUUUUUCAGCAAUUUGCAUCAAGUAUAAGUGAAAACAAGUCUUGGCUUUGAUACCACUAUUGAGUUUUGAGAAAUCUAACACUCCUAUGGUGUACAUGCAACCCUAUAAACCUUGGAUCUAUGUUUUCUCUAUUAUACAUGCAAAUAUUCAAUAUUCCAAGGUUUCAUCCUAACUAGUAUAAUAUAAAGUAUAUAUAAUACAAGAAUCUAGCAGAAUGACAUACCUCUUUGUUGUAUCUUGAUUCCAUGGAGCUUAAGAGCUUAGUGCCCCAAGUGUGACACCUCAAAUGGCUCACACAACACCACCAACAACUUGGAAUAACUUGAGAGAAAAGUUCUUAUGCUCAAAAUCGGCUAGCCCUCUCAUUUGAAUCCUUAGGUCCGAUUUCUUGAGCUAUGGGGUCUUUAUAUAUUGUGGCUAUUAGGGUUACACCAUGUAACUCGUGACUUUCCAUAUUCCUCAUGAUCCAUGGGUUUUAACCUCCAUGGAGUAUCCAUGGUUUACCCCAUGGGUUUAGCCCAACAUGAAGAACUAUGGAUCAUAAGCCCACAUAUAUAAGAAUGAAUGAUUUACAUAAUCAAUCCCCAUAUAUUUAGUAAGUCUCUUUUGAUCACAGAAUUAAAUCCAAAUUAAUUCUUGAUCAAUACUUAUUAAAUAAUAU